This 206-nucleotide ribosomal RNA is filed under the name uncultured bacterium. RNAcentral describes it as "partial 16S ribosomal RNA". It matches the Rfam family "Bacterial small subunit ribosomal RNA", at positions 524 to 729 of the family's 1533-position model. The record is from RNAcentral.
UACGGGGGGGGCAAGCGUUGUUCGGAAUUACUGGGCGUAAAGGGCUCGUAGGCGGCCAACUAAGUCAGACGUGAAAUCCCUCGGCUUAACCGGGGAACUGCGUCUGAUACUGGAUGGCUUGAGUUCGGGAGAGGGAUGCGGAAUUCCAGGUGUAGCGGUGAAAUGCGUAGAUAUCUGGAGGAACACCGGUGGCGAAGGCGGCAUCC